GACGAACGCUGGCGGCGUGCUUAACACAUGCAAGUCGAACGGAAAGACCCUGCUUUUGUGGGGUGCUCGAGUGGCGAACGGGUGAGUAACACGUGAGUAACCUGCCCUUGACUUUGGGAUAACUUCAGGAAACUGGGGCUAAUACCGGAUAGGAGCUCCUGCUGCAUGGUGGGGGUUGGAAAGUUUCGGCGGUUGGGGAUGGACUCGCGGCUUAUCAGCUUGUGGGUGGGGUAGUGGCUUACCAAGGCUUUGACGGGUAGCCGGCCUGAGAGGGUGACCGGCCACAUUGGGACUGAGAUACGGCCCAGACUCCUACGGGAGGCAGCAGUGGGGAAUAUUGCACAAUGGGCGGAAGCCUGAUGCAGCAACGCCGCGUGCGGGAUGACGGCCUUCGGGUUGUAAACCGCUUUCGCCUGUGACGAAGCGUGAGUGACGGUAAUGGGUAAAGAAGCACCGGCUAACUACGUG
This 468-nucleotide ribosomal RNA is filed under the name uncultured bacterium. RNAcentral describes it as "partial 16S ribosomal RNA". It matches the Rfam family "Bacterial small subunit ribosomal RNA", at positions 28 to 507 of the family's 1533-position model. The record is from RNAcentral.